GGUCUUAUAGUGUAGUGGUUAUCACUCAGGAUUUUGAGGAUUCUUGCGGAUUAGUGCAAGAUUAAUUUCCUGGAACCCAGGUUCGAACCCUGGUAAGACCU
Non-coding RNA from Armillaria nabsnona, 101 nucleotides. NCBI's taxonomy places the organism in Eukaryota, Fungi, Basidiomycota, Agaricomycetes, Agaricales, Physalacriaceae. The record is from the annotation of a GenBank genome assembly.